UGGGGAAUAUUGCACAAUGGGCGAAAGCCUGAUGCAGCAACGCCGCGUGAGUGAUGAAGGCCUUCGGGUUGUAAAGCCCUGUCUUUUGGGACGAUAAUGACGGUACCAAAGGAGGAAGCCACGGCUAACUACGUGCCAGCAGCCGCGGUAAUACGUAGGUGGCAAGCGUUGUCCGGAUUUACUGGGCGUAAAGGAUGCGUAGGCGGAUUUUUAAGUGAGAUGUGAAAUACCCGGGCUUAACUUGGGUGCUGCAUUUCAAACUGGGAAUCUAGAGUGCGGGAGAGGAGAAUGGAAUUCCUAGUGUAGCGGUGAAAUGCGUAGAGAUUAGGAAGAACACCAGUGGCGAAGGCGAUUCUCUGGACCGUAACUGACGCUGAGGCAUGAAAGCGUGGGUAGCAAACAGGAUUAGAUACCCUGGUAGUCCACGCCGUAAACGAUGAGUACUAGGUGUAGGAGGUAUCGACCCCUUCUGUGCCGCAGUUAACACAAUAAGUACUCCGCCUGGGAAGUACGAUCGCAAGAUUAAAACUCAAAGGAAUUGACGGGGUC
Molecule: ribosomal RNA, 549 nt
Filed under: uncultured bacterium
Lineage: Bacteria
Description: partial 16S ribosomal RNA
Rfam family: Bacterial small subunit ribosomal RNA
Source: RNAcentral